ACAACAGUUGGAAACGACUGCUAAUACCGCAUAAGCCCACGACCCGGCAUCGGGUAGAGGGAAAAGGAGCAAUCCGCUUUGAGAUGGCCUCGCGUCCGAUUAGCUGGUUGGUGAGGUAACGGCCCACCAAGGCAACGAUCGGUAGCCGGACUGAGAGGUUGAACGGCCACAUUGGGACUGAGACACGGCCCAGACUCCUACGGGAGGCAGCAGUGGGGAAUAUUGCACAAUGGGGGAAACCCUGAUGCAGCGACGCCGCGUGGAGGAAGAAGGUCUUCGGAUUGUAAACUCCUGUUGUUGAGGAAGAUAAUGACGGUACUCAACAAGGAAGUGACGGCUAACUACGUGCCAGCAGCCGCGGUAAAACGUAGGUCACGAGCGUUGUCCGGAAUUACUGGGUGUAAAGGGAGCGCAGGCGGGAAGACAAGUUGGAAGUGAAAUCCAUGGGCUCAACCCAUGAACUGCUUUCAAAACUGUUUUUCUUGAGUAGUGCAGAGGUAGGCGGAAUUCCCGGUGUAGCGGUGGAAUGCGUAGAUAUCGGGAGGAACACCAGUGGCGAAGGCGGCCUACUGGGCACCAACUGACGCUGAGGCUCGAAAGUGUGGGUAGCAAACAGGAUUAGAUACCCUGGUAGUCCACACCGU
RNAcentral lists this ribosomal RNA (644 nucleotides) under uncultured bacterium. Its description in RNAcentral is "bacterial SSU rRNA". It matches the Rfam family "Bacterial small subunit ribosomal RNA", at positions 143 to 803 of the family's 1533-position model. The record is from RNAcentral.